RNAcentral lists this ribosomal RNA (253 nucleotides) under uncultured bacterium. RNAcentral's name for it is "partial 16S ribosomal RNA". It matches the Rfam family "Bacterial small subunit ribosomal RNA", at positions 524 to 776 of the family's 1533-position model. The record is from RNAcentral.
GACGAAGGAUGCAAGCGUUAUCCGGAUUCAUUGGGUUUAAAGGGAGCGUAGGUGGCCUUAUAAGUCAGCGGUGAAAUCUCUGGGCUUAACCCAGAAAUUGCCAUUGGUACUGUAGGGCUUGAGUACAGUUGCUGUGGGCGGAAUAUGACAUGUAGUGGUGAAAUACAUAGAGAUGUCAUAGAACACCGAUUGCGAAGGCAGCUCACAAAACUGUAACUGACACUGAGGCUCGAAAGUGCGGGGAUCAAACAGG